GGGGGUAUAGCUCAGUGGUUGAGUGUUUGGUUAGCAUUCAUCAGGUCAUAGCUGGAUUCUGAGUACCUCCA
This 71-nucleotide transfer RNA is filed under the name Cricetulus griseus (Chinese hamster). It matches the Rfam family "tRNA". Rfam says of the family: Transfer RNA (tRNA) molecules are approximately 80 nucleotides in length. Their secondary structure includes four short double-helical elements and three loops (D, anti-codon, and T loops). Lineage: Eukaryota; Metazoa; Chordata; Mammalia; Rodentia; Cricetidae. The record is from Rfam by way of RNAcentral.